GUCUGUCUAGAAUUCCAAAGGCAAAUGACUCAAGGUAACAGGAAAAAAGAAAAUCCAGUAUCAGGAUAAUCAGAACACCACAGGUUUACAGUUUGUAGAAACUAGAACACGAGCAGCUCUCACUUAAGGUCUGUGAUGGAACUCCAGUGGAGAAAUGGCUGGUACUUUUUCCACCCCUUAAUCAGAUUUUUUUUUAAUUAAAGUAUGUAACCGGUUAUUUUUACUUGAAGUAUUUUGGGGUGGUCUUAACAGGGAAGAGGGUGGGGGAGAAAAUGUUUGUUUCUAAGACUUUCCACAGAUGCUAUAGUACUAUUGACAAACUGAGUUAGAGAAGGAUUGUACUGCUAUGCUGUUGGCACCAAACACCUUCAGGGAUUGGAGCUGCUUUUUUCCUUGGAGUAUUCCCAGUGAAGCUGAAAUAUACAGCACAGUGCAGCUUUGGUUCAUAUUCAGUCAUCUCAGGAGAACUUCAGAAGAGCUUGACUAGGCCAAAUAUUGAAGUUAAGUUUUCAAAUAAUGGAACUUUUUAAGAUGCCUUUUAAAGGGGAGGGGCAAGUUUUGGCAAUUAGUUGGCAGUGGCCUGUUUUGGUUGGGGUUGGGUGGGUUGGGUUUAGGUAAUUGUUUAGUUUAUGAUUUCAGAUAACUCAUGCCAGAGAACUUAAAUACUUAGGAUGGAAAAACUAAAGAAAUCUCACCUCCCAAGUUGGCAAGUAACUCCUGAUCCUCUAGUUUCUUGUUUUACCCCAAUUUUUGAACUGGACAGCUGGGAACUUCAAAGAUUCACUGGAUUUAAAGUGUAGGGCUUGGGAAAGGAAAGUGUUGGAUUGGGGGUUGGUCUAGCCCACUGGGUUGACCAAGAUAAAAACUUGGGGAAUUGUUUAAACACUAAAGUUGUUUGGAUAUGGUAGUGUGUGGUUCUCUUUUGGAAUUUUUUUCAGGUGAUUUAAUAAAACUUAAUACUACUAUAGGAGCUUCAGAGCAAAGGAAGUGGCUUAAUGAUCCUGAAGGGAUUUCUUCUGAUGGUAGCUUUUAUAUUAUCAAACUUUUUUCAGAUAACAUCUUCUGAGUCAUACCCAGCCUGGCAAUAUGAUGGCCUAGAUGGAGAGGGGAACAGCUCCUUGACAGGUUUCUCUAUCAGAAGAGUUGCUUCAUAUCAUCUGGGAGCAGAAAACAGCAGGCAGCUGUUCACAGAUAAGUUUAACUUGCAUCUGCAGUAUUGCAUGUUAGGGAUAAGUGCUAUGUUUAAUAAGAGCUGUGGAGGUCCUAGGUCCCUUACUCAAGGGAUCUCAGGAUUUUGAGGAAUUUUCCCAUCCAGCCUUUUAAAAUGAGACAGGCCUUAUGCCUGUGGGCUUCCAUGAUGGGCUAACUCACUUCACUCGAGGCAAGUAAUUCCUUAAAGCCUCUUGAGAUUAAUACCUUAAUAAUCAAGGAUAAUGUUGAUAAAAUAAAAAUUUGUUUAGCAUUGAUUCUUGAAAACCC
RNAcentral lists this long non-coding RNA (1479 nucleotides) under Sus scrofa (pig). RNAcentral describes it as "lncRNA (ENSSSCG00070019977.1)". The record is from RNAcentral. Lineage: Eukaryota; Metazoa; Chordata; Mammalia; Artiodactyla; Suidae.